RNAcentral lists this ribosomal RNA (438 nucleotides) under uncultured bacterium. RNAcentral describes it as "bacterial SSU rRNA". It matches the Rfam family "Bacterial small subunit ribosomal RNA", at positions 355 to 786 of the family's 1533-position model. The record is from RNAcentral.
UAGGGAAUUUUCGUCAAUGGGCGCAAGCCUGAACGAGCAAUGCCGCGUGAGUGAGGAAGGUCUUCGGACUGUAAAGCUCUGUUGCCGGGGAAAAAGGGGAAAUGCAGGAAAUGGCAUUUCAUGGAUGGUACCCGGCCAGAAAGCCACGGCUAACUACGUGCCAGCAGCCGCGGUAAUACGUAGGUGGCGAGCGUUAUCCGGAAUGAUUGGGCAGGUAAGGCGCGCAGGCGGUCUGUUAAGUCUGAAGGCAAAGGGAUGAGCUCAACUCAUUUAUGAUUCAGAAACUGGCAGACUUGAGGACAGGAGAGGGCGGUGGAACUCCAUGUGUAGCGGUAAAAUGCGCAGAGAUAUGGAAGAACACCAGUGGCGAAGGCGGCCGCCUGGCCUGUGACUGACGCUGAGGCACGAAAGCGUGGGGAGCAAAUAGGAUUAGAUACC